UAAGGAAUAUUGGACAAUGGGCGAAAGCCUGACGGAGCAACGCCGCGUGAGGGAUGAAGGCCUCUGGGCUGUAAACCUCUUUUAUCAAGGAAGAAGAUCUGACGGUACUUGAUGAAUAAGCCACGGCUAAUUCCGUGCCAGCAGCCGCGGUAAUACGGGAGUGGCAAGCGUUAUCCGGAAUUAUUGGGCGUAAAGCGUCCGCAGGCGGCCCUUCAAGUCUGCUGUUAAAAAGUGGAGCUUAACUCCAUCAUGGCAGUGGAAACUGUUGGGCUUGAGUGUGGUAGGGGCAGAGGGAAUUCCCGGUGUAGCGGUGAAAUGCGUAGAUAUCGGGAAGAACACCAGUGGCGAAGGCGCUCUGCUGGGCCAUCACUGACGCUCAUGGACGAAAGCCAGGGGAGCGAAAGGG
Molecule: ribosomal RNA, 406 nt
Filed under: uncultured bacterium
Lineage: Bacteria
Description: bacterial SSU rRNA
Rfam family: Bacterial small subunit ribosomal RNA
Source: RNAcentral